GCGCCGGUGUUGUAAUGGCGUAGAGCAUUCCCGCCCGGUCAGAGGGAGGUGCGGGUUCGAGUCCCGCCUGGCGCU
This is a non-coding RNA of Heligmosomoides polygyrus, 75 nucleotides long. NCBI's taxonomy places the organism in Eukaryota, Metazoa, Nematoda, Chromadorea, Rhabditida, Heligmosomidae. The record is from Rfam.